AAGGUCUGUGAAAUUCUAAUUCACAUCUCCUGAAUGCAACUCAAGCACUUUAAUUAAGCUAAAACCUC
RNAcentral lists this transfer RNA (68 nucleotides) under Trachylepis damarana (Damara skink). RNAcentral describes it as "tRNA-Ala". Lineage: Eukaryota; Metazoa; Chordata; Lepidosauria; Squamata; Scincidae. The record is from RNAcentral.